CAAGGUAGAAAUUAAAAUGGAACAGGCCCAACUUGAAAUUCAGAGACCAAUAGAGGAGCUGAUGACAUUGGUGGGAGACAGGUGUGGGAAUAAAGAAUGUUGGUAGAUUCUAGAGACAUUCCAGAGAUAACACAGACAGGACUUUGUGACUGACUGUAUGGGGCAGCUGCAGGGGUAGGAGAGAAGGAAGGAUUAAGACAUGAUGAACUGGGCUAUGAGGUGGCAGCUCUAUUGACUCCAGAGAACACAGGAGGUGAAAAUCAUGGGAGACUUGAUGAAAACACUUUGAGAGGCAUCAUGGAGAUAAAAGCCAGAAAUAAGGUGGGAAAUGGAAGCUAGUCAUUCUAGAAAAGAGGAUGGGAGGGUGGGAAGAUGAGCAUAAGUUAACAGGAAACAAGUUAAUUUUUUAAAAGUGCUUAUUUUUUAAAAAAAGAAAAUCAUGCUCAGCAUAGAGAAGGAGAGGCUUUCAGGAUAAAGAAAUGGGACUAAUAAUAAACCAGCUGUUCUCAACCAGGGGUGAUUUUGCCCCACAAGGGACAUUUCACAAUACCUGGAGACAUUUUUAGUUAUCAAGCCUGGAGGGUGCUACUGGCAUCCAAUGGGUAUAGGCCAGGGAUGCUACUAGACAUCUUACAAUGCACAGGACAGCCUCCACAAGAAGUAACUGGCCCAUAGUGUUAAUAGUGUGGAGGCCGAGAAAACCUGCUAUAAACCAGAGCUCUUGAGAGGGCAAGAGGGGAAAAAGAGCCUGAAACCCAGGUACAGAAACAGGAGGAAAGAAUGAACCUAAGUGGGCUGCAGAAAAAAAAAAAAAAAAAAAAAAUUAGCAACUGUAGCCCUAGAGGGCAACAAUAAUCAGUAAUUUGUAU
Long non-coding RNA from Nomascus leucogenys (northern white-cheeked gibbon), 869 nucleotides. RefSeq lists it as uncharacterized. Lineage: Eukaryota; Metazoa; Chordata; Mammalia; Primates; Hylobatidae. The transcript has 2 exons. The record is from RefSeq and is a predicted model, not a curated record.